AUUCAAAUAGUUUAAUAAAAAUAUUAAUUUGUGGAGUUAAAGAUAUAAGGAUAUUUUGAAUA
This 62-nucleotide transfer RNA is filed under the name Brentidae sp. GENSP01. RNAcentral's name for it is "tRNA-His". Lineage: Eukaryota; Metazoa; Arthropoda; Insecta; Coleoptera; Brentidae. The record is from RNAcentral.